AAAUAUUGCAAACAGAAAAAGUUACGAAAAUAUCAUCAACAGAACCAUGAUUUUUAAUGGUCAGCAAGAAAUCUUUUGACCCAUUCCAACCGCACAUCAGAAGGUAAACUAAAGAAAACGAGCAUUUGAGUUGGAUGAUCUGGAAUUUUGCUCAAUGCUCGAUAGCGCUCAUCCACAGUUAAACCUUCUAUUUCACAUAAGGUUGGAUAUAAAUUUGUAG
Molecule: long non-coding RNA, 220 nt
Filed under: Gossypium barbadense (sea-island cotton)
Lineage: Eukaryota; Viridiplantae; Streptophyta; Magnoliopsida; Malvales; Malvaceae
Description: long non-coding RNA (GBAR_LNC013675)
Source: RNAcentral